AAACUAUUUUGAUUUAACUAUCGAAUCUUUCAAAAAUUUAAUUUUACUAUCCAAUCCAUCGAUUUGUUCGAUCUGAGUGAGUCAAUAGUAUUUUUAGAUUCAAAGUGCCGUUGGCUGACUCAAAUCGAACAAAUUCGAUAGAUUGGAUAGUAAAAUUAAAAAUUUAAAGGUUGAAUAGUUGAAUCAGAAUAGUUCAUAGUUCAAAUAAGUUUUGUGCGUUCUAUCAAAUUUAUGGUUUUAUUAAACUUCUCAUCAUAUAUUUAAGAAAGCAGAAAAAACGAAAAAGAAAAAAAGAAGUAUGCUGUUUGUUUGCUGAAACAAUUUUGGGGAGAAAAAGAAGGAGAGCGUUGCAAGUUGCAAGCUUAACCUAAAAGUAAAUUAUGACUGACGCGGAGAAAAUGCAUUAUGUACGGUUAGAAAGUAUAAUUAAAAAAAUCUAUUUAUUUUUAUAUGUAAUAUUACGUUGUGCAUAUGAUGAUAAUUUAUUUUUUCUAUAGUCCUGGUAAAACUAUAAAAAUAUGUUUUUAUAUACUUUCGUCCUAACUCUGUUUUGCAUACUAAAAAUGAAUUGGGCUUCGUUGUUUGGAUCGGAAAAGAUCGAAAUGUAAAAUGUGAGCCCGAGGCUGAUUCUUUCUGGGCUAAAUCUGCAGUGAUUUUUAGGUUGGACCGGCCCGUUUAUUUAUUUUAAGAAAUGAGAUUGCCCGUAUACAUGCAUAGGUUGAAUACUUGGAUCCCUCUUUUUUCUAAAAUUUUUAUAAUUUUUAAUAUAAAAAUAUAAAAAUACUAUUUUCUACAAUUUAGUUUGGUAUUAGAAUCACAUGUCCUAAGUUCGAGUUCCCUCGGGCUCCUAGAAUUAUUUAGUUUUAUCUCAUUUAAUCAAAUCCACGUCUCGGACGCAAACAUCUGAAUCAUGUAUAUUUUUGGGACUUCUAAUUCCAUCUUCUAUCUUCGUUCUUAGCUUCUUAAUUGAACUAAUUAGGCAUAGUAAACAAGAUCUUGUAGUCCUCUCUUGUAGUGUACAAAUAUGCGAUUAUAAUUUCCAUGGAUUGCUUAAACCGAAUCCUCUGUUCACUUUCACAAUUUUUUAUUUGAGAAAUGAUUCGGUACUUUUUUUAAAAAAAAAUAAAAAAGAUCUUAACCGUUGAUUAAUAGAGGGUAAAAAUGUAACUUUAGGAAAUUAAUUGAUUAACCAAAUUUAUGAAAUUAUUAGGCAUUAAUUUAGGAAUCUACUUUAAAUGUUUUAGUGUUUCUCAAAUUAUCCAUUAAUUUAAAUUAUAGAAAUUUUAGAAAUUGUUUUAUUUCUAAAUACGAUGAAUUUAAAUUUUAAAAAUUAAAUACUUAAAAUUUAAAAGUAAAAUUUAAAUUAGAGGAAUUUCGUAUUACUAUUUAAAAACUAAAUUUCUACCAAGAUUUAAAAUACAGUUUAUUCGCACCAGUUUAAAACGUAAUGCAUAAAAAACUUAGAAAGUAAGAUUUCUACAACUAGAUUUCUUUAGAGGAAUUUUAUAUUACUAUUUAAAUUUUAAAUUCAAUGAUUUAAAAACUAGAUUGAACCGAUUGAUUUGACUGAUCAGACUUUGACCUAUUCUAUCAAGAAUCUGAUUUUAACCUAUUGAACCGAAUAACAUUAAGAACAAUUUGGAACCGGUAAAGAUAAUAAAUAUUUUAAACAGAAUGAUAAUUUAACUGUUAGAGCUAAUAAAUAUUUUAAAUAUAAUUUUAAACAUAUAAAUUAAAAAGAUUAGAAUUAUUGGUGAGAAAAAAAAUAGUUAGGAAUUUGAAUUCGAAUCUGACUAACAAUCACAAAACUUAUUUCCGAACUCGACGGAUUUCAAAAAUCCAUAUCCAAAUUCAAAACUGACCAAUUUUUCGAAACCCAAAAUCAAACCUAAACCAGAAGACUAGAAUUCAAACAAUUAUUUCUGUUUACCAUAUUUCAAAGUAUUUAUAUGAAACUUAAAUUUUUAAAAUAUAAAUUUGAAUAUAAUAUUAAAUUUUAAAUUUAAAAGUGAAAUUUAAAUUAGAGAAAUUUUAUAUUACUAUUUAAAGUUUAAAUUCAAUGAUCAUAUUGUCAAAUCAUUUGAAAUUUUCCUUAUAUGAAAUGCCAAAUUAUGAAAGGAAAGAUAGAGAGAGCAAAAAGAAAUAAAGAAAAAAUAAAAAUUUUGAAAAUAUAGUAGAUGUAAAAUGACUAAAUUGCCCAUGUAUUAAAAGACAAAAAUAUCUUUUUUUGAGGUACCUGGUAACCGGUACCUCUCCCAAAGUGACCUACUAUUGCAGGUCACAAUUUAAAAAAAAUUAAAUCUAAGUCGUUGAAUACGCGUGAAUGAACGGUAACCAAAAAAAAAAAAGUAUAGAAGCAUUACUCUUUUUAUUUUCCUUCUUCGCAACAUUUCAUGUGUUAAUAGAGAUGAAGGUUUAAAUCAGUGUUACCUCUCUGCUACCAAGCAAUGUUUGCUCCUCUUCAUUAUCUCGCGAAGGUUUAAAUGAUUUUACGGAUAUUUGAAUUAAUGUUGCUGCUAUUUACCUACUAAAUCGCAAACUCGAGCUCGAAUAAUGUUUCGAUUAAAUUGGUAUGAUGAGUUAAAUAAAUUUCUGAGCUUAUUUAUUAUUAUAUCGAUCUUUUGGAUAAUAUAGUAUCAUAGUUAAUGUUUCGUAAAUCUCGUUACUUGAAUAGCAUUCUAUGAGAAUUAAUUUUAAAUCUUUUAUUCUGUAAUGCAGGUCGAUCUUGGAAGUAAUAUAUUGAGAGUGGUCAUCAAUUCAAAAUGCUCUAAUCAUCUCCGAAAUUGACGGUGAUCGAUUCAGUUCCCAUGAAUGGUUCUUUAUUAUUAUUUUCUUAAAAAAAAAAAAAGUCGAUUCAACGCCACAAAACAUGUACUACACUUGCAACCACAUUCAAGUCAAACACAAGUGCCUUGAUGAGUUUCUUUAAAAAUUACAACUUUUGAAGUGGAUCAGAAAAUGCAAGUUUAAGUAAUAUUAGAUUUCAACUUCAUGUAGCGUUUGUUUGCUUUCAACUGUAAUGUUAACCUCAUUUCUUGCAGCAACUGGUGAUAGCAGCAGAGUGAAGGUUGUUCACCGGCACGGCCCGUGCUCGCCGCUCAGCCGCCAAAAAGACACCAAUCACGCGCGCAUCCUCCGCCGAGACUGGUCUCGCGUCAAAUCCCUCUCUCCGCCGCAUAUCUUUCUUGUUAACAGCAACACUCAACAGUACGUCGUCGGCCGACACGACAAUCCCUGUCCGCGGUUGCUCCUUAUUUUCCGCCAGCGAGUAUGUCGUCACUGUCGGCGUCGGCUCUCCAAGCCAAGACCUCACCUUCGCCCUCGACACUGCCGCCGACCUCACCUGGGUCCAGUGCAAGCCCUGUGCAGUGUACUGCUACCUGCAAAAGGACCUGCUCUUCGACCCUUCGAAAAUCGACGACGUACUCCAACGUUUCCUGCUACUUCCCGGAAUGAUAUCACUUGUCACGUGUGGCACUCGUCCGUUAUCUGUACGAACGAGCCAGUCAAACCAUUCGGAGGCAUAAAGCCGGCUCACUUAAUAUACGUUCCAAGGUGGAUCUAAAAUUUAGGUAUGGCAUUGCACUGGAAGUUGAUAUAAGUCCGGGAUUCUUCACAUUGCUAGUAUAUCGCAAACUUGUUUCGCAUUUGCGAGCAUUGCGAGCGAGCGCGCGGCAUCGAUGGUAGAAAACACGCAGCAGAGAGGGUUGGAGAUUGUUUACAAUGUGUUCAAGAAGGUGAUUGGAUUUGGAGUGGGCGGUUGUUGUAGGAUGGAAUGUUUGUGGCUCUUGAGAAGGAAUAACUGGAGCAGAAAAAUAAAACUAAUUAUGUGAUCGUCUAUACAUUCGAUGAAGAAACAAUUUCCUGCUAAGUUUAUUUCUAAAUGAAAUAAACGAAGUGGGUAGCGUGCUAUCUAUCUCUCAAAAAAAAAAAGAAAAAUUUCUUUAUUUAAAUUUUGAGAGAGAGAGGGAUAGAAUGCUAGUUGCUUUGUUUGUUUUUUAAGAGAUAAACUUAAUUAAAAAUAUAAAAUAAUUAUAUUUCAAAUUUGAGAUUUCGAAUGUUAAUCAUCUACACUAACUAAUAAGUUGAAAAAAUAUUCACGGUCAAAUCCUUCUACCAGUUCAUCACAGACGCAGGACUGCACAUCCCGAUGAACCAACACAUUUGGAACUUGAAAAUUUCAGUAAAAAUCAAAGUCUUUAUUUGGCUGCUACUUCGGAAGAGAUUACUCACUGCAGAUAGAUUGCUCAACUGAGACAUACUUGUAGACCAAAAUUGUGUUUUCUGUGCGGUUCUCACGGAAAGCUGUGACCAUUUAUUCAGUAAUUGUGUUUGCGUUCGAUACUUUCUCCUCAGUGUGGAAAGAUUGGACGUAACUGACAACAUCAUGGGCGACGUCCGAAGCCUUUGGCCCGGAAUUUCUAACAACCCAGUUGAUUCGUUGAGAACACAAGGCUUGAUCCUUCUGGCUGCGAUUUGGUGGGUGGUUUGGACGGAUAGAAAUAACUCCGUUUUUCGGAGAAAUCCGCCCAACACUACCCGGUCUUUAGAACGUGUUAAAUUACUUAACAGCAAUUAGACCGCACUGCUCUGAUGUGUUACUAGAGCUUCUUUCCCUUUCUUUUCUCACCUUGUCUCUUCCUUUUCGCUUUUUAAUCUUACCUCUUUUUGCCGGUUUCUUAGAGAGGCCUUCGUUACUUCCAUCUUGUAUGCUCAAUUCAUUUUGCUUAAUGAAUGAAGUAGCUAGCUUGUUACCUAUUUCUCAAAAAAAAAAGAAAAAAUGUAAGUGAAAGCGAGCAAUAUUGGAGCCUCAGCAAAUGAAUGUUUAGAAACGGGACUUGUGUUGGACUAUGUCGGGCAUAAGCUUUAGACUUAGAAGAGAAACAGCUAAUCACAGCUCAAAAUCUAGCUUUGUAUGUUUAAUGUGGAUCAUGCCGGGCCGGCCCAUUGCCAGGACGAGGCCCGUGCGGUCCGUAGUAGACCGAGCAGUGGACUGAUCCGAUUAUUUUUUUUACUUUUUAAAUUUUUUAAUUGCUUUAAUCUCACUUUAUUAUUUUUUCUUUUUGGCCUUUUUGCAUAAAAAAUCCACUUAUUUUGGGCUUUUGCAAAACCGGGUCAUCUUUUUCGUUUUUGCAAAUUCGGUCUGCUUUUUCAGCAAACUGACCAAAAUACCCUUAUUACUUUUUCUCUUUCCUCUUUCUCUCUCCUCUUCGUUCUCUCGUUCUUUUUUUUUUCNGAACUUGGCGAGGAGGAUGGAGUAGCGGUCGCGACGCAUGCCGUAGACCCACUCGCGACGCGCGGGGUCGAGGUCGUGGGUGCGGUCGAAGAAGCCGACGAGGGGCGGCGCGGGGCCGGAGCGGGAGGAAGAAGAAGAAGAAGAAGAGGGAAAAAAAAAAAAGUGCUCCAGCAGGAGGAAGAAGAAGAAGAAAAAGAAAAAGAGAAAAAAAAAUUACUCCUGCAGGAAGAAGAAGAAGAAGAGCCCGCCUGGCGGUGCUCCGGCGGCGCGUCCGCCUGGCCUUCGCUUUUUUUUUUCGGUGAAAGAACGAGAGAACGAAGAGGAGAGAGAAAGAGGAAAGAGAAAAAGUAAUAAGGGUAUUUUGGUCAGUUUGCUGAAAAAAUGGACCGAAUUUGCAAAAACGAAAAAGGUGACCCGAUUUUGCAAAAGUCCAAAAUAAGUGAAUUUUUUAUGCAA
Molecule: long non-coding RNA, 5692 nt
Filed under: Ananas comosus (pineapple)
Lineage: Eukaryota; Viridiplantae; Streptophyta; Magnoliopsida; Poales; Bromeliaceae
Description: long non-coding RNA (ACOM_LNC004183)
Source: RNAcentral